UACGUAGGGUGCGAGCGUUAAUCGGAAUUACUGGGCGUAAAGCGCACGUAGGCGGCUUUGUAAGUUAGAGGUGAAAGCCCGGAGCUCAACUCCGGAAUUGCCUUUAAGACUGCAUCGCUCGAAUCAUGGAGAGGUGAGUGGAAUUCCGAGUGUAGAGGUGAAAUUCGUAGAUAUUCGCAAGAACACCAGUGGCGAAGGCGGCUCACUGGCCCGAUACUGACGCUGAGGCACGAAAGCGUGGGGAGCAAACAGG
This 253-nucleotide ribosomal RNA is filed under the name uncultured bacterium. Its description in RNAcentral is "partial 16S ribosomal RNA". It matches the Rfam family "Bacterial small subunit ribosomal RNA", at positions 524 to 776 of the family's 1533-position model. The record is from RNAcentral.